UGCAGUGGACGACUUACAAGCAAAGAAAUACUAUAGACAGGAGCAGAAAAUCAGCAUCACCAUGAUCGCAAAGAUGUUUGUCAUCGUUCUUCUUGUUGUUGCCUGCUGCAACGCAGCGACAACAACCACAUCUGCAGCGACAACAACCACAUCUGCAGCGACAACAACCACAGCUACAGGGACAACAACCACAGCUGCACCAACAACAACCACAACUGCUCCAACAACAACCACAACUGCUGCGACAACAACCACAGCUUCUCCAACAACAACCACAUCUGUAGCGACAACAACUACAGCUGCUUCAACAACAACCACAACUGUUCCAACAACAACCAAAACUGCCGCGACAACAACUACAGCUGCUUCAACAACCAUAACUGCAGCGACAGCAACAACCACCUCCUCUGCUAUUCUCAACAACAUCAGCUUCCUUACAGUAGUUCUGGCUCUGUCGUCACAUGUACUCAGAUCAUGUUUUUAACAUUUCUUAAGUUCACAUCCUCCAAAUGAAGCAACAAACUGAAGUACCUGUGACCAUUUGAAAUGUUUAAGUAACCAAAUGUUUAAUCAUAUAUUUAUUCUUAUUUAUUAUGGUUUUAUUUAUUUAUUUAUAUCUAUCAGAGAGAAGUUGUUAAAUGUUUUCCUGAUGUUUGUGUGUUCCAAACUUGUGUGAUCAGAGGACUGAUAUUAAAAAUUUAGUGAUGUCUACAAUCUCAACACUGAGCUUAUCAUAAAUAAAGUCUUUUUGCACUG
Long non-coding RNA from Astatotilapia calliptera (eastern happy), 756 nucleotides. Lineage: Eukaryota; Metazoa; Chordata; Actinopteri; Cichliformes; Cichlidae. The record is from Ensembl.